UCCCUGGUGGUCCAAUGGCUAAGACUCCACACUCCCAAUGCAGGGGGCCUGGGUUUGAUCCCUGGUCAGGGAA
Molecule: transfer RNA, 73 nt
Filed under: Bos taurus (domestic cattle)
Lineage: Eukaryota; Metazoa; Chordata; Mammalia; Artiodactyla; Bovidae
Also listed under: 1 other name
Rfam family: tRNA
About the family: Transfer RNA (tRNA) molecules are approximately 80 nucleotides in length. Their secondary structure includes four short double-helical elements and three loops (D, anti-codon, and T loops).
Source: Rfam by way of RNAcentral